RNAcentral lists this ribosomal RNA (402 nucleotides) under uncultured bacterium. RNAcentral describes it as "bacterial SSU rRNA". It matches the Rfam family "Bacterial small subunit ribosomal RNA", at positions 28 to 432 of the family's 1533-position model. The record is from RNAcentral.
GAUGAACGCUGGCGGCGUGCCUAACACAUUCAAGUCGAACGGUGAAGGGACUUCGGUCCCGGAUCAGUGGCGGACGGGUGAGUAACGCGUGAGCAACCUGCCUUUGCUUGGGGGAUAACAACUGGAAACGGUUGCUAAUACCGCAUAAUGUAGCGACUUUGCAUGGAGAUGCUACCAAAGAUCUAUUGAGCAAAGAUGGGCUCGCGUCCGAUUAGAUAGUUGGUGAGGUAACGGCUCACCAAGUCGACGAUCAGUAGCCGGACUGAGAGGUUGAACGGCCACAUUGGAACUGAGAUACGGUCCAGACUCCUACGGGAGGCAGCAGUGGGGGAAUAUGGGCCAAUGGGCGAAAGCCUGACCCAGCGACGCCGCGUGAAGGAAGACGGUUUCGGUAUGUAACUA